GGGCGAGCAGAGGAGCGGCGGGGGACCCCUCGGCUGUCCGGGCGAGAAAGGGCGCGGCGGACGCGAAAGGGCGCGCAGAGACGGGCGCGCUGUGCCGGGCGCGGCUGGCGCGCGGAGACCCGCGGGACUUAAGCAUAUCAGUACGCGGAGGAGAAGAAACGAAGACGGAUUCCCGGAGUAGCGGCGAGCGAAAGGGGAGGAGCCCGCGGCGAACCGCAGGGGGUGUGCCGGCGGCGCAGAAGCGAGCAGGGCGCUCCGCCGGAGAGGGUGGGAGCCCCGUGGCGCAGCGGGCGGGGGGAGUAGCCGUGCUUGGGCGUGGACGGUGAAGCGGUGGCGCGGCCCAUCGAAGGCUAAAGAGCGGGGCAGGCCGAUAGCGCAGAAGUACCGCGAGGGAAAGGAGAAAAGCACUGCGGGAGCAGAGUGAAAAGGCGCGAAACCGGCGCGAGCGCGGGCGGCCGGCGGGGCUGUGCGCGGCCCGUCUUGAAACACGGACCAAGGAGCGCUGCGCGCGGGCGCGGCGAAGCGCGGAAGGCGCGGCGCGGCGGGCGCGGGGAGUCCGCGCGCAGCGGCCCGAAAGGCGGUGAACUACGCCUGGCGCGAGCGACGGCGGGGGAAGCCCCGGCAGAAGCUCCAAGGGGGCCUGACGUGCAAAUCGGUCCUGCGAGCGGGGCGUAGCGGCGAAAGACCCAUCGAACUGCCUGGUAGCUGGUUCCCGGCGAAAUGUCCCGCAGGACAGCCGGCGCGCGCGCGCGGCGCGCGGUAGAGCGGCCGAGGGGCGCCUCGAACUGCGAACGCGCGGGCGGCGGCGCGCCGAGUGGGCGUGUGCUGGUAAGCAGCGCGCGCAAGGCGGGCCGAACCGGGCGCAGAGAUAAGGGGCCGCGGGGGCGCACAGAGCCGAAGGCCGCGGGCGGGUCAGGACAGCAGGGCGGUGGCCAUGGAGGUCGGCACCCGGGAAGAAGUGUGUUGCAACAUACCUGCCGAACCCGCGCGCGCCGAAAAAGGAGGGCGCUGCAGGCCCCCCCGACGCUCUGCUGCGGGCGCGGCCCGCAAGUAGCCGGGCGGCGCGCAUGCGCGGAAGCGCGCGCGCGGGCGCGCGUGGAGGGUGCGCGGGCGCAGAUCUUGGAGGGAGUAGCGCACUUGGCGCGCCAAGCGCCGGCGAGGAGAAGGGUUUCCGCAGGAGAGAGCCGGGCCUAAGGCGCGCAGGCCGCGCGGCGAAGGGGAAGAGGAAGCCGCACGCGCGCGCGGCAGCGGGGCGCGGCUCUCGACGCCCGCCGCCCGCGGGCGCGGGGGGGCUCUCCGCGCAGGCGCCGCGGGACGCGUUGGGCGGCGAACGCGGCGCGGCGCGCGGGGCGGGCGGGUGAAAAGAGGGCCGCGGCGCGCGGCGCCCGUACCGAAACCGCAGCAGGUCUCCGAGGCGCGGAGCCUCUGGCGCGGGACAGCGCGGGCAAGGGAAUUCGGCAAAACAGACGCGUAACUUCGGGAGAAGCGUUGGCUCUGGCGUGCUAGAACCGGAACGCGGGGGAGUCUGACUGUCUAAUUAAAACAUAGCCUCCCGAGCCUCGGCAGGUGCAGACGGGAGGUGAGUUCUGCCCAGUGCCUAGAAAGUUACCGCGGGGCGAGCCGCCGAAGCGCGGGUAAACGGCGGGAGUAACUAUGACUCUCUUAAGGUAGCCAAACGCCUCGUCAUCUAAUUAGUGACGCGCAUGAAUGGACGAACGAGAUUCCCGCUGUCCCUGCCCGCGUCCAGCGAAACCACAGCCAGGGGAACGGGCCUGGGCGCGCAGCGGGGAAAGAAGACCCUGUUGAGCUUGACUCUAGUCGGCGGGGGAGGGGAGCGGCGCGCAUGCAGGCUAGGUGGGAGGGCGCGCGGUGAGAGACCACCGGCGCGCCGCGCCCCCUUCUGACGGGCGCGGACGCCUGCCGGCGGGGAGUUUGGCUGGGGCGGCACGGCUGCUAGAGCGCAACGCAGCUGUCCAGAGGCGGGCUCAGCGCGGCGGGAAACCGCGCGGGGAGCAGAAGGGCAGAAGCCCGCCGGAGCGGGCGCGGCGCGCGCCUGCGCGGGGAAACCCGGGCCUAGCGAACCCGCGGCGCCUCGGGCGCAGAGCCGCGGAUGACGGAAAAGUUACCACAGGGAUAACUGGCUUGUGGCGGCCAAGCGUCCACAGCGACGCCGCUUUUUGAUCCUUCGAUGUCGGCUCUUCCUAGCGCUGCGCUGCACCGGGCGCAAAGCGUGGGAUUGUUCACCCACCAACAGGGAACGUGAGCUGGGUUUAGACCGUCGUGAGACAGGUUAGUUUUACCCUACUGCUCUGUUGCGCGAGCACGCGCGCGCAGUACGAGAGGAAUCGCGCGCGCGCCCCUCUGGCGCUCCCUGCGCCGCGCGGCGCGGGGCGGGGCUACGGGCGCGGCAGAACGGCUGAACGCCUCUAAGCCGGAAGGCCGGCUCAGGCGACCGCGGGGCGCGCAGAC
This 2469-nucleotide ribosomal RNA is filed under the name Nitrospira sp. RNAcentral's name for it is "23S ribosomal RNA". It matches the Rfam family "Eukaryotic large subunit ribosomal RNA". The record is from RNAcentral. Lineage: Bacteria; Pseudomonadati; Nitrospirota; Nitrospiria; Nitrospirales; Nitrospiraceae.